AGAGUUUGAUCCUGGCUCAGGACGAACGCUGGCGGCGUGCCUAAUACAUGCAAGUCGAACCACUGACAGAGAAACUUGUUUCUCUCGACGUGAGUGGCGCACGGGUGAGUAACACGUGGGAACCUACCCUUCAGCGGGGGAUAACCGUCGGAAACGAUGGCUAAUACCGCAUAGGUCUUUAACCGCCUGGUUGAAAGAGGAAAGACGGCUUCGGCUGUCACUGAAGGAUGGUCCCGCGGUCAUUAGCUAGUUGGUAAGGUAACGGCUUACCAAGGCGAUGAUGCAUAGCCGACCUGAGAGGUGAUCGGCCACAUUGGGACUGAGACACGGCCCAAACUCCUACGGGAGGCAGCAGUAGGGAUCUUCCGCAAUGGACGCAAGUCUGACGGAGCAACGCCGCGUGUGUGAAGAAGGUCUUCGAUCGUAAAGCACUGUUAUUAGAGAAGAACAACCGGUAGAGUAACUGUUACCGGCUUGACGUAUCUAACCAGAAAGCCACGGCUAACUACGUGCCAGCAGCCGCGGUAAUACGUAGGUGGCAGCGUUGUCCGGAUUUAUUGGGCGUAAAGGGAGCGCAGGCGGUGACUUAAGUCUGAUGUGAAGCCCACGGCUCAACCGUGGAAGGUCAUUGGAAACUGGGUCACUUGAGUGCAGAAGAGGAAGUGGAAUUCCAUGUGUAGCGGUGAAAUGCGUAGAUAUAUGGAGGAACACCAGUGGCGAGGCGACUUUCUGGUCUGUAACUGACGCUGAGCUCGAAAGCGUGGGGAGCAAACAGGAUUAAUACCCUGGUAGUCCACGCCGUAAACGAUGAGUGCUAAGUGUUUGGAGGGUUUCCACCCUCAGUGCUGGAGUUAA
This 855-nucleotide ribosomal RNA is filed under the name uncultured Aerosphaera sp. RNAcentral describes it as "bacterial SSU rRNA". It matches the Rfam family "Bacterial small subunit ribosomal RNA", at positions 8 to 855 of the family's 1533-position model. Lineage: Bacteria; Bacillati; Bacillota; Bacilli; Lactobacillales. The record is from RNAcentral.